UACGUAGGGUGCGAGCGUUAAUCGGAAUUACUGGGCGUAAAGCGUGCGCAGGCGGUUUUGUAAGCCGGAUGUGAAAUCCCCGGGCUUAACCUGGGAAUGGCAUUCGGGACUGCAAGGCUGGAGUGCGGCAGAGGAGACUGGAAUUCCUGGUGUAGCAGUGAAAUGCGUAGAGAUGUGGAGGAACACCGAUGGCGAAGGCAGCCCCCUGGGCUAACACUGACGCUCAUGCACGAAAGCGUGGGGAGCAAACAGG
Molecule: ribosomal RNA, 253 nt
Filed under: uncultured bacterium
Lineage: Bacteria
Description: partial 16S ribosomal RNA
Rfam family: Bacterial small subunit ribosomal RNA
Source: RNAcentral